Molecule: ribosomal RNA, 440 nt
Filed under: uncultured bacterium
Lineage: Bacteria
Description: partial 16S ribosomal RNA
Rfam family: Bacterial small subunit ribosomal RNA
Source: RNAcentral
CCUACGGGAGGCAGCAGUGGGGGAUAUUGCACAAUGGGGGAAACCCUGAUGCAGCGACGCCGCGUGAGUGAAGAAGUAUUUCGGGAUGUAAAGUUCUAUCAGCAGGGAAGAAAAUGACAGUACAUGACAAAGAAGACCCGGCUAACUACGUGCCAGCAGCCGCGGGAAGACGUAGGGGGCAAGCGUUAUCCGGAUUUACUGGGUGUAAAGGGAGCGUAGACGGUUAUGUAAGUAUGGAGUGAAAUCCCGGGGCACAACCCCGGGACUGCCUUGGAAACUGUGUAACUUGAGUACAGGAGGGGCAGGCGGAAUUCCUGGUGUAGCGGUGAAAUGCGUAGAUAUCAGGAGGAACACCGGCGGCGAAGGCGGCCUGCUGGACUGAAACUGACGUUGAGGCUCGAAAGCGUGGGGAGCAAACAGGAUUAGAUACCCUUGUAGUC